AACGACACUGUGGUUCCAGGUGCUACUCCCGCUAUAACAAAGGAACUGGCAACCACGUCUAGGAAGAGGUAAGUUCCGCUUCGUCGCACUCCAACACAGCUUUAUUACAGGCCUUCAUGGUUCGUACAAACAAAAAAAUGUAACUGAUAGUGAUUAGUGUCCAUAUACUCAAUUUUAAAGAAAAAUGCAAAUAGGAAACAUUUUGUUGCAUCACCGACACAGUCCUCAAGAUCAUGCCUCUCAUGGGGUAUAGGUAUCUGUUAGCUUCAGUUAGGUUUAGUCUCCAUCAGAUUUACAUAGUGUUCACUGUCGACACAGUUUUCAUAGUUUUGACAGUUUAUCGGAUUUACACACGCUCGAUACGCUCAAUAUAGAUUGGCCCAGAGCAGACCUAACAAGGUAUGCUGGUUUGAUCUUAUGCUACAUACUUCGUCUAGAUCUGUACAUUUUAUGUGCCACACAAUCGUAGUUCCACAACUUAGACUUUACAUGAUGAAUCAACUGUGUCUGCACAUUUUGUUACAUGUAAUAAGUGUUAGACAUUUCUACUGACGUUGUUGUACACUUCUAUUCUCAAUUCAUCUUGCCUUGUCGGUGUUCUAUUGCUACGAUUUUUUUGUAUUGAUGGCUUACUCCAAAAAAAAUUAAGUGUUCUGAAUGUUUCUCACAACUGUGUUUCAGGUUACUACUAGAUCAUGGUUCGCCAUCGAUGCUAUGCGCAGGCCACGCUCGAUUUCUAUGCUUGUUGACGUGAACGUGCUUCGCUCCCUUCAUGUUUAAGCCUAAGCAGCUUGAUGUGCUUUUGUGUACAAUGAUCAUUUGCUUGUUGCAUCGUACAUGUAUAGUCUAUGGAGCUGCAAACUGUUAGAGUUAUGUAUUGUUGUACUGAUCACCGUUUAACAACUGCAUGUACGCUGUCUUUUAGAGACAGUUGUGGAACCUGCGUCCACGCCAUAUGUAUUAUAUUGUCGUAUUGUAUCCUACAAUAUGUUUGUGUUCCUACAACGUGUUUGUGUUCCUAAACUGUGUUUAUAUAUGAUGUAUU
Molecule: long non-coding RNA, 1045 nt
Filed under: Zea mays
Lineage: Eukaryota; Viridiplantae; Streptophyta; Magnoliopsida; Poales; Poaceae
Description: long non-coding RNA (ZMAY_LNC005877)
Source: RNAcentral